GUCUAUGGCCAUACCACCCUGAACGUGCCUGAUAUUGUCCGAUCUUGGAAGCUAAUCAGGGUCGGGCCUGGUUAGUACUUGGUUAGGAGACCAAAUACC
Molecule: ribosomal RNA, 99 nt
Organism: Nomascus leucogenys (northern white-cheeked gibbon)
Lineage: Eukaryota; Metazoa; Chordata; Mammalia; Primates; Hylobatidae
Source: Ensembl